GACGAACGCUGGCGGUGUGCUUAACACAUGCAAGUCGAACGGUAAGGCCCUUUCGGGGGUACACGAGUGGCGAACGGGUGAGUAACACGUGAGUAACCUGCCCUCAUCUCUGGGAUAACAGUCGGAAACGGUUGCUAAUACUGGAUAUGAGCUUGCAAGGCAUCUUGUGGGUUGGAAAGAUUUUUUUGGUUGGGGAUGGACUCGCGGCCUAUCAGCUUGUUGGUGAGGUAGUGGCUCACCAAGGCUUCGACGGGUAGCCGGCCUGAGAGGGCGACCGGCCACAUUGGGACUGAGAUACGGCCCAAACUCCUACGGGAGGCAGCAGUGGGGAAUAUUGCACAAUGGACGGAAGUCUGAUGCAGCAACGCCGCGUGCGGGAUGACGGCCUUCGGGUUGCAAACCGCUUUCAAUUGUGACGAAGCUUUUUGUGACGGUAGCAGUAGAAGAAGCACCGGCUAACUACGUG
RNAcentral lists this ribosomal RNA (466 nucleotides) under uncultured bacterium. Its description in RNAcentral is "partial 16S ribosomal RNA". It matches the Rfam family "Bacterial small subunit ribosomal RNA", at positions 28 to 507 of the family's 1533-position model. The record is from RNAcentral.